This 978-nucleotide long non-coding RNA is filed under the name Lupinus angustifolius (narrow-leaved blue lupine). RNAcentral describes it as "long non-coding RNA (LANG_LNC002091)". Lineage: Eukaryota; Viridiplantae; Streptophyta; Magnoliopsida; Fabales; Fabaceae. The record is from RNAcentral.
GGAGUAAACCAAAUGAUAUUGAGGGUUAUCCAAACUAAAUUUCAGGGUAGAGUUUUGACAGGCACAUGGAAAAUCAUCAUUCAAACAUUGUGCACAAAUGUGCUAUAUCAUCAUUCACAUGCUAAAAAAAUUAACACCUAAUCAUCAACACAGUCAACCAAAAGAGAAAGAAACUGUUUCCUAUAUAGGAAUACUUAAGCUGUUGUGGUAACCUAUUCAGAGGCCUCAACUAAUGCAUUUUGCUGUACAACAAUAUGAACUCAGCUCUAGUUUUUUUACUCAUUUCCUUCACUAGAAGUUGGCCAUGUUGCAGUUGGGGCCUGGUUUGUUUCGGUAGAAGUAGGCCAUGAUGAUGUUGGAGCCUGGUUUGAUUCAGUAGAUGUAGGCCAUGAUGAUGUUGGAGCCUGGUUUGAUUCAGUAGAUGUAGGCCAUGAUGAUGUUGGAGCCUGGUUUGUUUCAGUAGAAGUAGGCCAUGAUGAUGUUGCAGCCUGGUUUGUUUCAGUAGAAGUAGGCCAUGAUGAUUUUGGAGUCUGGUUUGUUUCAGUAGAAGUAGGCCAUGGAGUUCUUGGUGCCUGGUUUGUUUCAGUAGAAGUACGCAAUGGAGUUGUUGGGGCCUGGUCCCCUCCUGCUCUUCCACGAGGUUUCCGGAAAUGCUUGUCAUUGAACGAUUCGGCAACGUCUGGAUACUUCUUCCGUACUAGGUUUUCCAGGCACUUCCUGUAGGAAAAGUCCUCCUUUUUACCAUUCUUUAAAACCACAUACAUGCAUCUACUUUCCUGAAAAUUGCUGUGUCUGCUAACCUGUAAAAACAAGCGCUCCAAGAAGGCUGUGUUUGGAACCCUAAUUUUUAAAGGGGAAAAGUAAUUUUGCCCUUAUUUUUUAAUACAUGGCAACAAGGUUGUGCGUGGAACCCUAGUUUUAAGGAAAAGCUCUUUUUGCCCUUAUUCUUUAAUGCAUGGCAUGUUUUUUUAGGGUUUU